GUCCAGGAACGAUUUUGAUAGAUCAUGACUAUCCACGUAACUACCAAAAGUCGAUGUGGACUGACGUGGACAGGUGAAAAGAAAAAUAAAGGAAAAGCACACAAUAAAUCGAUUAUAAAUAGAGGGAUAGUACGUACAAAUUCAGUUAUAAGACGAACUGCAACAUGUAAGAAUCCAUUUAUAUAACAAAUAUUAAAUUAAUUUCAUCAAAGAGUCAUUACAACAAAAGCAGUUUCGUCGAGAAGAUUCAGAUCAUCAGAAGAGAGAAAACGGGGACAGCUUGGUUCGUUUGGCAAGACUCUAGCUACCAGCUGCUGCUCCUGCAAGACAGAGAAAACAGGU
Molecule: long non-coding RNA, 342 nt
Filed under: Brassica napus (rape)
Lineage: Eukaryota; Viridiplantae; Streptophyta; Magnoliopsida; Brassicales; Brassicaceae
Description: long non-coding RNA (BNAP_LNC026950)
Source: RNAcentral